GAUAAACGCUGGCGGCGCACAUAAGACAUGCAAGUUGAACGGACUUAAUCGAAAUAUUUAUAUUUUGAAGCGGUUAGUGGCGGACUGGUGAGUAACGCGUAAGGAACCUGCCUAUUAGAGGGGAAUAACAGUGAGAAAUCAUUGCUAAUACCGCAUAUGCCAUAGAUAUCACAUGAUAACAGUGGGAAAGGAGCAAUCCGCUAAUAGAUGGCCUUGCGUCUGAUUAGAUAGUUGGUGGGGUAACGGCCUACCAAGUCGACGAUCAGUAGCCGGACUGAGAGGUUGAACGGCCACAUUGGGACUGAGAUACGGCCCAGAAUCCUACGGGAGGGAGCAGUCGGGAAUAUUGCGCAAUGGAGGAAACUCUGACGCAGUGACGCCGCGUAUAGGAAGAAGGUUUUCGGAGUGUAAACUAUUGUCGUUAGGGAAGAGAAAGGACAGUACCUAAGGAGGAAGCUCCGGCUAACUACGUG
This 473-nucleotide ribosomal RNA is filed under the name uncultured bacterium. RNAcentral describes it as "partial 16S ribosomal RNA". It matches the Rfam family "Bacterial small subunit ribosomal RNA", at positions 28 to 507 of the family's 1533-position model. The record is from RNAcentral.